UGAAUAUGUCUUCUACUUGUUUUAAUAUAAUUUGAGAUUUAAAAUUUAAAAUUUUAUUUUUAAAAAAUAUAUAUUUAAAAUUUAAAUUUUAAAUAUAAAAUUUAAAAAUUUAAAUUCAAAUAUAAUAGGUAAUAUCAUUAUUUUUUUAUCUAUAACUAUCCACUAUUUUUUUUAUUCUAUCUAAUAUAUCCAAACUUAACCCCGAACCAAACAAAUCCUGAACUUAUACAUAUUUUUGAAAUAAUUUUCUACUCAACCCGAACCAAACUAA
RNAcentral lists this long non-coding RNA (271 nucleotides) under Ananas comosus (pineapple). RNAcentral's name for it is "long non-coding RNA (ACOM_LNC011188)". Lineage: Eukaryota; Viridiplantae; Streptophyta; Magnoliopsida; Poales; Bromeliaceae. The record is from RNAcentral.